GACGAACGCUGGCGGCGUGCCUAAUACAUGCAAGUUGAGCGCUGAAGGUUGGUACUUGUACCAACUGGAUGAGCAGCGAACGGGUGAGUAACGCGUGGGGAAUCUGCCUUUGAGCGGGGGACAACAUUUGGAAACGAAUGCUAAUACCGCAUAAAAACUUUAAACACAAGUUUUAAGUUUGAAAGAUGCAAUUGCAUCACUCAAAGAUGAUCCCGCGUUGUAUUAGCUAGUUGGUGAGGUAAAGGCUCACCAAGGCGAUGAUACAUAGCCGACCUGAGAGGGUGAUGGGCCGCAUUGGGACUGAGACACGGCCCAAACUCCUACGGGAGGCAGCAGUAGGGAAUUUUCGGAAAUGGACGGAAGUCUGACCGAGCAACGCCGCGUGAGUGAAGAAGGUUUUCGGAUCGUAAAACUCUGUUGGUAGAGAAGAACGUUGGUGAGAGUGGAAAGCUCAUCAAGUGACGGUAACUACUCAGAAAGGGACGGCUAACUACGUG
RNAcentral lists this ribosomal RNA (497 nucleotides) under uncultured bacterium. RNAcentral's name for it is "partial 16S ribosomal RNA". It matches the Rfam family "Bacterial small subunit ribosomal RNA", at positions 28 to 507 of the family's 1533-position model. The record is from RNAcentral.